This 492-nucleotide ribosomal RNA is filed under the name uncultured bacterium. Its description in RNAcentral is "partial 16S ribosomal RNA". It matches the Rfam family "Bacterial small subunit ribosomal RNA", at positions 29 to 507 of the family's 1533-position model. The record is from RNAcentral.
AGUGAACGCUGGCGGUAGGCCUAACACAUGCAAGUCGAACGGCAGCACAGUAAGAUCUUGCUCUUACGGGUGGCGAGUGGCGGACGGGUGAGGAAUACAUCGGAAUCUACUUUUUCGUGGGGGAUAACGUAGGGAAACUUACGCUAAUACCUCAUACGACCUACGGGUGAAAGCAAGGGUUCUUCGGACCUUUCGCGAUUGAAUGAGCCGAUGUCGGAUUAGCUAGUUGGCAGGGUAAAGGCCCACCAAGGCGACGAUCCGUAGCUGGUCUGAGAGGAUGAUCAGCCACACUGGAACUGAGACACGGUCCAGACUCCUACGGGAGGCAGCAGUGGGGAAUAUUGGACAAUGGGCGAAAGCCUGAUCCAGCAAUACCGCGUGGGUGAAGAAGGCCUUCGGGUUGUAAAGCCCUUUUGUUGGGAAAGAAAAGCAGCAGGUGAAUACCCCGCUGUUCUGACGGUACCCAAAGAAAAAGCACCGGCUAACUUCGUG